AGGACAGCAGCUCUAUACAGUGGAUUGCAUAACCAGGAUGAACGAGAUGCUACUUCUCAGACUCUUCAAUUGAUGUACCACAAGCGAUGAGAGACCCAGACAUAUGACAAUAGAGAAGCUACGGUCUUGCUGGACAUGGCAACGACAGGACAGCAGCUCUAUACAGUGGAUUGCAUAACCAGGGAGGAACGAGAGGUAGCAUGUGUUUCUUUGCAUUAGCUGUUUUAUUUUGUAUGC
This is a long non-coding RNA of Pomacea canaliculata, 237 nucleotides long. RefSeq lists it as uncharacterized. The transcript has 3 exons. The record is from RefSeq and is a predicted model, not a curated record. Lineage: Eukaryota; Metazoa; Mollusca; Gastropoda; Architaenioglossa; Ampullariidae.